RNAcentral lists this ribosomal RNA (773 nucleotides) under uncultured Neocallimastigales. Its description in RNAcentral is "partial large subunit ribosomal RNA". It matches the Rfam family "Eukaryotic large subunit ribosomal RNA", at positions 22 to 646 of the family's 3401-position model. The record is from RNAcentral. Lineage: Eukaryota; Fungi; Neocallimastigomycota; Neocallimastigomycetes; Neocallimastigales.
AUAUCAGUCAUGCAUAGCAUAUCAAUAAGCGGAGGAAAAGAAACUAACAAGGAUUCCCUAGUAACGGCGAGUGAAGCGGGAAGAGCUCAAAUUUGAAAUCUUAAAGGGUUUCCCUUGACGAAUUGUAGUUUAUAGAAGUGUUUUCUGUUAGUAGAGUGGCAAAAGUUCUUUGGAAUAGGACAUCAUAGAGGGUGAGAAUCCCGUAUUUGGUCAUUCCUUCUAGCUUUGUGAUACACUUUCAACGAGUCGGAUUGUUUGGGAAUGCAGUCCAAAAUGGGUGGUAAAUUUCAUCUAAAGCUAAAUAUUGGCGAGAGACCGAUAGCGAACAAGUACCGUGAGGGAAAGAUGAAAAGAACUUUGAAAAGAGAGUUAAACAGUACGUGAAAUUGUCAAAAGGGAAGCGUUUGACACCAGUGUUGUUUUUCCGAAAAUCAAUUACGAAUGUUUUGUUUUUAAGAAGUUAUGACUUCAUCGGCUUGCUCCUUUCUUUACGAAACUUUCUUAAUGCACUUUUCGGUUAACAAGUCAACAUCAAUUUCUUUUGUUGUAAAAGGGUAUGAGGAAGGUGGCUUUCUUUUCGGAGAAAGUGUUUAUAGCCUUGUACCUCUGCAAUCGGAGAGAUUGAGGUCUGCAGCGUAGAUCCUUCGGGGUUAGAUACGUUUGUGCUAAGUUAUAGCUUUUCAUAGACAACUUGUUGACUAUGUUUAGUCUUGUAGCUUACUCGCUGAUGCUAUUUUACCUACGCUUAGGAUGUUGAUGUGAUACUGCGAGCA